Molecule: long non-coding RNA, 480 nt
Filed under: Triticum aestivum (bread wheat)
Lineage: Eukaryota; Viridiplantae; Streptophyta; Magnoliopsida; Poales; Poaceae
Description: long non-coding RNA (TAES_LNC023437)
Source: RNAcentral
UUCUUCCUCUUCUCCCCUCGAGCUCAUCACACAUUUUGCCCAAAAUUUGUCAAGAUUUGAAGGCCCCCAUCCAUUCAAGUGAUCACAAAGGUUAGCAACUUUGUCCUUUCAUCUCUCAUUACUAGAUUAGCUCUUGCAAUGCUUUAUAUAGUUACUAAUUUGUGAGUUUAGCAAUUUGGGAGGAAAUAUAUAUGUGCUAGUAUUUGAUUUAUAUGCAAUUUGAGGUCAAAAAUAACACUUAGUUUGCAUAUGUAGGUGUGGUUUACUUAGUGCCUUCUAAAUCUCCGUCGUAAUCACCGUCGAUCGCCCGCACCGUCCCGUCGCCGGCACCACCUUGUGAUGAGCCUCUUGUUCAUGAAAUUUUAUAUAAAAAAUUGAUGUUUGUGUGAUUUGGAUAUAUAGUUAAUCAUGUAAUAAUUAUCUUACCCGUACGUUGUUUGUUAUACAUAGUGCCAUGGUUUUGAUAUCCGUCCCCGUCGG